This is a long non-coding RNA of Haliotis rufescens (red abalone), 240 nucleotides long. RefSeq lists it as uncharacterized. NCBI's taxonomy places the organism in Eukaryota, Metazoa, Mollusca, Gastropoda, Lepetellida, Haliotidae. The transcript has 3 exons. The record is from RefSeq and is a predicted model, not a curated record.
AGCUGGUGUUCCUCACCAAACACAAGGUUGUUGGUAUUCCCAAGAGACCAAAGACAAAUAUGACCUUGGCGUCCAUUCAUAUUAAAGAGGUGAAGCGCAAGAAGCCAGCAAUCGAUGUGGAGGAACACCUGCAAUAUGUGAAGGGGAACCUAACUUGCAUGCGAAACGAGCCAGAAAAAGGUUCGAAGAAGUCGGACUUAUGCUUCACGCGACUUGUAUCUGUUCUCCGCGACAUACCUG